Molecule: long non-coding RNA, 826 nt
Filed under: Coffea arabica (coffee)
Lineage: Eukaryota; Viridiplantae; Streptophyta; Magnoliopsida; Gentianales; Rubiaceae
Description: long non-coding RNA (CARA_LNC006347)
Source: RNAcentral
UUUCGCAUAAUUAUAAUAUCGAACUAAUUAGACUUGAGCAAGCUGUUCUUGUUUGCUAGAGCUACAUUUUUCAAGUGAUUAAGGCUGACACUUAACAUUCAGCACUAUUUAGUUUCGUCCUGGUGUUCUGGGUGAAUAUUGAUGUUUUUGUGUUUUAGUUUAUGCUAUGCAAGUGUUUCUGCUUCUUAAUUGACUCAAUAAUUUUGAGCCUGUUGGCAACAAUUGUGGUACCAUCAUUAUUAUUCUUUUAUUUUGGUGAGUUUUGCUGUUGUAUAUGCUGGUAGCAUGUUAGAAUUUGUAUCUGAGUAUGGGAGCAACUUAAUGAGGAUGUCAAUGCAGAUCAUUUGUUCUGGAAUUCUGCUUUUGAUGUAAUGAGGUUUGGUUGUUCUCCUGCAUAAUUAUGUGUAUCUUGAGACCUGCUUCGGUAAUAUGCUCUGUAGGAAACAGAGAGCACCAACUAGGAUUGUGUUAACAAACUGACACAGUCAGGUUGAGGUAUUCUGGAACAUUUAAAGUCGAGAGCAUCAAAGUGUGACUUUAAAUUUUGCUAUUAUCUCCUUAACAAAUCAUUGAGUUUCUCUCGGAUACAAAUCAGGUGCUGUUUUUUGGAUCUAGCAGUUCAAACCUCCAAAGUAAAUGCAGUGUACUGUCUUCAAGUCAACGACUGAUCUUAUACCAGCUAUCCUUUUCAUCUUGACCCAUAUUUCUUGAGUUAAGAGCUCACGGUUCUUUGCUUAUCACCAGUUCCUUUUAUGGUUAUUCCCUAAUUCGUCCCCUGUUUGCAUUGUCACUGGUGGAAUAGCGAUUACAGUAUUAGUCUGUUGUU